CUUCGGGGGAGCUCGGGCACGGAAGCUCCUGAGCGGCCCCGGAGCCCCUUCGGUUUCCUAAGCGUAAUUCGGGCGCGCGGCGCCCAUGCUCAGUCGUUCGAACACGUUUUAUUCCGUAAUGUCUUUCUGGUGUUUUGCUACAGCUUGCCCGAAUGUCACCGAGCUCGGCUAGACUUCCAUCAGAUGGUGCGGUGAGGCGCCCCGCUCUCCCAGGGCUCUUUUCAUCACACACACACAGUGGUUCAUCACGUUAGGAUGCGGGGGAACAGCACGUUGCUGUGCCAGGGAAAGGCCAGACUGAAGCGAGGCGGCCAAGAGCUGGGCCUGGUGCCCCGUGCUGGUCAGCGCUGCCCUCCGUAACUGCUGCACCUCCUGCUGCCGCUGAGGAGGUGGGUGGCACGGCUGGGUGGGCGCUGGGAGCCCCUUCCCACUGAGCUGUUGAUAUCAGUGCCAUUUACAUGCUUCGUAACUUAUUCAUCUUCUGUGACCGCUAGAAAAUAUCUCUGUUUUUUUAAGCCUUAUUUUCACACAGAGAUCAUCAACUAAUGAAUACAGCAAUACUGGUUAAAAUGAAUACUGAGUCCUUUGUUUAAAAACAUGAAGAUAUGUAUGUUUUCUCUGUCAAGCAAUGAAAAACUCGUGCUGUAUUUUUAAGCAGAUAAUAGACAGUGAUAUAACUUCAGGAUCGUAUUCAUUUAAAACACGGUUGUGUUUUGUGUCUCUUACUCCCGCUGCAUGUUGACAAACUCUUCAGCAGAUGUGCACAGGGAAUUAAAACAGUGCUGUCCCUUG
Molecule: long non-coding RNA, 792 nt
Organism: Tympanuchus pallidicinctus (lesser prairie-chicken)
Lineage: Eukaryota; Metazoa; Chordata; Aves; Galliformes; Phasianidae
Exons: 2
Source: RefSeq, a predicted model, not a curated record